AAUCUACGCUGGCGGCGUGCCUCAGACAUGCAAGUCGAACGAUUAAAGCUCCCUUCGGGGAGUGCAUAGAGUGGCGCACGGGUGAGUAACACGUAAGUAAUCUACCUUCGAGUGGGGAAUAACGUCCGGAAACGGACGCUAAUACCGCAUAAUGCAGCGGCAUCGCAAGAUGACAGUUGUUAAAGAUUUAUCGCUUGAAGAGGAGCUUGCGGCAGAUUAGCUAGUUGGUAAGGUAAUGGCUUACCAAGGCUACGAUCUGUAACCGGUCUUGGGGGACGGUCGGUCACACUGACACUGAAUAACGGGUCAGACUCCUACGGGAGGCAGCAGUCGGGAAUUUUGGGCAAUGGGCGAAAGCCUGACCCAGCAACGCCGCGUGAAGGAUGAAGUAUUUCGGUAUGUAAACUUCGAAAGAAUGGGAAGAAUCAAUGACGGUACCAUUUAUAAGGUCCGGCUAACUACGUGCCAGCCGCCGCCGUAA
This 481-nucleotide ribosomal RNA is filed under the name uncultured bacterium. RNAcentral's name for it is "partial 16S ribosomal RNA". It matches the Rfam family "Bacterial small subunit ribosomal RNA", at positions 33 to 523 of the family's 1533-position model. The record is from RNAcentral.